AGCCAGUGCUAUUAUUUAGGGCAAGAAGGGUCAUCAGGCGCUACGUCAGAAAGGUCAGAAGAAUCCUUAGACGUUACGGCAGAAAGGCAAGUAAAGCUCUCAGGCGUUUCAAAGGAAAGAAUCUUUGGAGAAAAAUUGCCAGUAAAUAUCGACAGUAAGUCU
Exaiptasia diaphana is the source of this 162-nucleotide long non-coding RNA. RefSeq lists it as uncharacterized. Lineage: Eukaryota; Metazoa; Cnidaria; Anthozoa; Actiniaria; Aiptasiidae. The record is from RefSeq and is a predicted model, not a curated record. The transcript is spliced from 5 exons.